Carassius carassius (crucian carp) is the source of this 499-nucleotide long non-coding RNA. RefSeq lists it as uncharacterized. The transcript is spliced from 4 exons. Lineage: Eukaryota; Metazoa; Chordata; Actinopteri; Cypriniformes; Cyprinidae. The record is from RefSeq and is a predicted model, not a curated record.
AAAAUGGUCUUUAGUGUGUCAUCGUUACAGGGCACUUGAUGUGAAAACUCUAGGAACUCCUCUAAGUAGUCCUCAGUUGGACGGCCAUCUUGGAAGAGAGAGUGAAAAGAAGAUCUGCUGGUUCGUGAGGGUGAUCCGAGGGAGCAAAGGAGCAUCUAGGGGUUAACAUUUGUAAAUGAGUGGAGUUGUAAAAAGAGCAAUGUCUCCAACUGUUUUUUUUAAAUGCAUGUGGAAAAUAUGACUUGCCUUUUCGGAUUGGAAACAGAUGGUAUUCCAUGGCUGGUCUUCUGCUGGAGCAAAAGAUGUUUUGAGGAGAGAUGUCCCAAUGUCUUAACAUGAGACAGAGAUGCACGAGUGCUGUGAUGAGAACUGACACACUGCCUGAGACCAGUUUCAACCGUUCACACUGCAGUCCAAAUAUCUCAGCUAGCAAAGAAAAGAGCAAGAGAGUGAUGCAAGACAAAUCAGCCAAAACCUAAGCCCCUGCCUAAAACGUGUG